RNAcentral lists this long non-coding RNA (392 nucleotides) under Androctonus crassicauda. The record is from RNAcentral. Lineage: Eukaryota; Metazoa; Arthropoda; Arachnida; Scorpiones; Buthidae.
GAAAUUUACAUAUAUUUGAUGUCCAUAAAUCUGAGUUUAUGCAAAAGUUUUCCAACUUUUUAUUUUUGAGAUAUAUUUUUAUUAUAUUUUGAGUUGCAAGCCCAAACAAUGCUUGUUUACAUUUAAAAAUCCAUGUUAACUGCUUUAUAUUUUAUAUGAUAUUUGUUGAUUUUAAGUAUCAUAUUACUGGAAAAGUAUUGCUCCAUGUGGCUGUGAGGAUCAUGGAUGAUGUGUGUUUUAGUUAUUAUGACAGAAUGAUUUUGGGAGGUUUAAGGGUGCAAAAAGGGUCUGUGACACAAAGGGGUCUGGAACUUGGGAGAAUUGAAGACACAAAAGGAAAAAAAAAACAUUUAUUACAUUAUGCAACUAAAAUUGCUUUGUUAGUACUGAGG